UUUCCUAAUCAGAGGACUGUAAAUGCCUUGGAAAGAAAGGCAGAUACUCUUAAGAUAAUGCCGUUCUUUUUAAAUGGCACCGUGACAUUCCCACUGGGCAUAUUUUACAAUAGUUCUGAUGGACAACUAUUUUGAUUUACAAUUGAUGUGACUCACUGCCAAUUCCAAGUCUACUCAAUUAUCAGAUGAAACUCCUCUUUUAUUUUAUGUUUUGAGUAAUUUGGUUGCUAUCCAAAUGGUCCAUUUUGGCCAGCAUUUCUGAAGGUCUUCCACAGUUAGUUUUAGAAUGUGGAUUAAAAUGCUUGAUUUGCUUUUCUCCAUGAGACCGUGAACUGUUACAGCGCUACGCAGUCCGCAGAAUCUGCCACCUCCCUGACUCUGGAAUCCAACAGCAGAGUUUGUGAACACAGUAGUUUUGUGACAAAACAAAGGUCUGAGAGACUACAUUUCAAAGUGAUGGAGGACAUGGAUGCUUAAGAAAAUGCAGCUUUGACUUGAUCAUGUUAAUGGUGUGAAGAUCUAGGAGAGAAGAAAGAUGAUAAAUACAAAGAGCCAGUGUUUCAUCAUGCAAGUGCAUAGAGAAUCUUCAGAUGUUUGGAGUCUCUGAUACUUGUUUCUGCAUGGACUUGUUUUGCCUUACUCAUUUCUGGGUCAGAAGCUACCCAGCAGCCAACAAGCACCAACUAAGGUUUAAAUGUAGGGGAGGCAUUAUGAGAAAAUUAUGCUGCUGCAGUACGUUCUCCUUCAUCUACUCUGGUAGUGUUGCUCUUGCUGAUGGUGAGGAUGGUAGCAGCAUCUUCAGAGCAUUAUAUCUAUGCUUCAGAAGGGGAUAA
RNAcentral lists this long non-coding RNA (833 nucleotides) under Coturnix japonica (Japanese quail). RNAcentral describes it as "lncRNA (ENSCJPG00005015345.1)". The record is from RNAcentral. Lineage: Eukaryota; Metazoa; Chordata; Aves; Galliformes; Phasianidae.